GUUUAACAGAGACAGGCAGAAAUUUAUUUCACUCCUCAUAUCGAGUCUGAAACAACAAAAGAAAGGAAAGCUUAUGUAUAGGCAGAAGCGGCAUGUAAAGGUCUCUGAUUCUGCAUUGUCAGUCGAACAAAAUGGUGGUUAUAAUGCACAAGGGGCACUGGAAAGAGCUUAAUAUGAAAGAAAGUGCAUCACAGUGUCCAAAAUGUUGUCAUCAGAUAGUCGAAACUGAUCACCACUUCUGCAGGAGGCAAAGAAAAAGGCGAAACCAAAACUUUCAAGUGAAAUGCCAACAUUCAGAGAAACUUGAUACUCUGAAAUGAACUUAGGCUCCUCAGAGAAAGAGGCGGAGCAUUUUUUUUAAUGUUUGAGUUGUGCACCAUUCUUCCCAAAUCAUCCUGUAAAUGCAAGUAUUUCUGAGUGUUUCUAUCAUGAGUGUUUCAAAGAGGUUGGCAGAUGGGUGAAUCAUGCUGAAUUCGAAGAGACCAAAAGGAAACAAAAAGCAUGCCUCUAUAUGAUGUCUUGCACAGUCAUAGGAUGUCCUAAUGUGCUUGAUAUUCAUUGAAGUAAUUUUGAACAAUUCUUAUGUUAAAACUGUGACAACCAAUUUUUGCACAGAAAGGCUGAACAAACAAUCAUAUGCCAAUGACCAGAUAAAUCUGUUUCUGGUGAUGUAAGUUGAGGGAUAAAUUUUGGCUAGAAUUCCAAGGAAAUCACCUCUGCUCUUUAAAAUAGUUGUAAAGGUCUUUUGUCUUUGAGGGAAUAGAUGGAGCAUUGUUUUGUUGCCUCAUCCAAAAGAAUUAGAUUUAGAAUUAGGUUUAUUGUCACAUGUACUCAAGUACAGAAGUACAGGAAUACAGUGAAAAUUGUACAACGUCGCCUUGCCUGGCUCCAUUUUAGGUACAAAUGUACCUGUACAAAAUUGGGUAUAAAAUAGAAAAGUAAAUAAAUAAAAGUUCAACAUUAGAAUUCUUCUGUAGCCACGAGCCUGCAGUUGCUCCAUGCUGAGCUUUACCCACAAGGUCUUACUCUCUCCCAAAUUGGGCCUACACACCCCAUGAGGGCAUGCUGUCCCCCAUGCUGGGCUGAGUCCCUCAACACUGACAGCCAUCUGGGCUCACCAUUUGGGCUUGCCAGCCACCUCGCCACCAACUGCCAUCUGGACUCACCAUCUGUUUCCCUGCAAAUUGCCUCCCGGCUCGUCGCUGCUUUGUUACAGAUCUUAAUCCAGGCUCACCAGCUGCUUCAUCACCGACCACCAUCCAGGCUCACCAGCUGCCUUAUCACUGACCACCAUCUGGGCUCCUCAACAGCUGCUGUUCCUCCGCCAACCAUCAAAGCCCUGCCGGCCCCAGUUGUUGCCGUGCUCUGAACUCUAGAGUCCAAUGCCAUCGCCGCCGCUGCCUCCAUGACUAAGCUUUCUCCAGAAAGUAAAUAAAACUAAAUAUGGCUUCUCUGACAGAACCACUCCUUCUGUAUGUCAUUGCAGUGCUUAGAUUCUGGUGUACACAUCUGUCGAGUAGAAGUUGAAGCAACAUCUUCUGAAUCAGGAGAGA
This is a non-coding RNA of Chiloscyllium plagiosum (whitespotted bambooshark), 1553 nucleotides long. Lineage: Eukaryota; Metazoa; Chordata; Chondrichthyes; Orectolobiformes; Hemiscylliidae. The record is from RefSeq and is a predicted model, not a curated record.